RNAcentral lists this long non-coding RNA (4043 nucleotides) under Podarcis lilfordi (Lilford's wall lizard). The record is from RNAcentral. Lineage: Eukaryota; Metazoa; Chordata; Lepidosauria; Squamata; Lacertidae.
GCAUUAUGACUAGUUGAAGUUCAGGUUUUCUAAGUGAGCAGCCUUCUUUAACCUGGUGCCCUCCAGAUAUUUGGACUUUUGCUUGUGUGCGUAUUCACAUGGGUUGUGUCCAAUGUUAAUUCGCACAAACAAAACUUUAUUGAGGUCCAUAGACCCAAAAUACACAAUACAACAAUAGUAUAUAUCAACAGUUAUUAAGGUGUAAGAUCAUCCUUGCUAGCCAAGAGAGGAACUUUAGCCUGUACAUACUGAUUUCUGAUUUUUACUGCCUCCCUCCAGAAGGAAUUUUGCUACAGCCCAGUGUAAUAGUGUCAAUCUUAUUCUCAAGGAGAACGUUGACAUGAAGUCCAAAUGCUAAUGAUAGGAGGAGUUAUUUAAAAAUAACCUCAUGGAAUAUUGCAGGCUGGGCCCACAAAAUCAGGGAUGGGCCCUUCUAUGAGUAUAUAAAGGGUUAUGAUGUGAUAGUGCUGUAAGAAACUUGGCUAACUGACAGCUUGUUAAUGUUAAUCCCAAUGUUAAUUCCCUGCAGAGGAGAUCCAUUGAAAUUAAUGGACCUUUGUUUGUUAUGUCCAUUUAUUUCAAUGGGCCUACUCUAAGGGCCCAUCCACACUUCCCUAAGAGCAUGGAUCCAAGGGGUUUUCUGUUUGUCCCAUGCUGUCUAAACAUGGCCCCAAAUAGUUUUUUGUUUGUCCAACUGCUUUCCCCAGAGAAACCCACUGAUUAUAUUGCUGAAUUGGAGCAAACGUCAGACUGAGGAGGGAAAUGUUUGACUUUGUUCUGAUCCAGCGGUAAACAGUGGGUUUUCUCAAGUGAAAGCAGCAGAGCAAGUAGGAGUGUGGAUGAGCCCUGAAUAGAACCAACAUUGGACAGAACCUCUCUAUAUAUUAUAUGGAGCCUGUAUUAUGCUUUAAUUAUGUGGUGCAUGUUCUCUGUGUACCCUUGAACAAGGUAUUCACCAGAUGGUUUUUGGCAUAUUGUUUUUAAUCCUCUCCACAAUUCUUCACCUUUUGGAAGGAGGGAUUCCUGUGUUGACAGCUUCUCCCCUUUCUGUCUCUCUCAUCAGAGUAAGUAACGUGGAGUAGACAGACUGUUGAAAUAAGACUCCUCUACCAUAUACGACCGUCUCUAUUUUUACCAAAGGGAGGGAGCACCAGCCACUCAUUGUGAAAUGUUGGGAGGAGAAGGUCCAGGGAAUUAGUGCUGAGAAGGACUACGGUGCACUGGAACAACAUCUGUUUUACAAUCUGAAGGUCACAGGUCUAACCCCCCUGCCAUCUCCACUGGGUGAGACCCCUCCCUGCAGCUGCAGAGAACUGCUGCCAGUCAGUCUACAAAGCAAUGAGCUGAUGGGCCAAUGGUCUGACUCUGUAAAAGGCAGCUUCCAAUGUUGCCAACCCCCAUUCUAAACCAGUUCUUCAUUGCCAUGUGGUCCAGUCCAUUUCUACCUUUCUUCCCCAUCUCCAAUCGUAGAUUCUUACUAUGCUUUUGAAGUUUCUUACUAAGUUUUUUGGGACGCGGGUGGCGCUAUGGGUAAAACCUCAGCGCCUAGGACUUGCCGAUCGUCAGGUCGGCAGUUCGAAUCCCCACGGCGGGGUGCGCUUCUGUUGCUCGGUCCCAGCGCCUGCCAACCUAGCAGUUCGAAAGCACCCCCGGGUGCAAGUAGAUAAAUAGGGACCGCUUACUAGCGGGAAGGUAAACGGCGUUUCCAUGUGCUGCGCUGGCUCACCAGAUGCAGCUUAUCACGCUGGCCACGUGACCCGGAAGUGUCUGCGGACAGCGCUGGCCCCCGGCCUCUUAAGUGAGAUGGGCGCACAACCCUAGAGUCGGACACGACUGGCCCGUACGGGCAGGGGUACCUUUACCUUUACCUUUACUAAGUUUUUAGAAAUGAUUUAUUAAUUUCCUCUGCUCAAGAGCUCUCAGUUGUGAGACCCAUUCACAUGAGCUCUGGAGGGAGGAAGUUAUUCUGUCUAACUAGCUGGCCAGUUUAGUAGCACGAAGGGAGGAACAAGGUGAUGGUGGAGCUUCACGUUGCUCCUUGAGAUCUUGCAGAAGUGUUUGCCCCAAUUGGCUAUGUCUCUAAAGUUCUUAUACUCCCUGCACAGUCUUUUAGAUUGAUUGGAGAUGUUCCUUUUGAACUGCAAGGACGAUGUGGUGAGUAAACCUGACAUGUCAGUCACACACACUUCCUGGGUUGUACGGCCUGUCAUCAUCCUUGGGUCUUAUCAGAGUGCCUCUAAGCAAAUGGGCACAACUGUCCUAGAAUGUGACAUUUCUUCCAAGGAAUGUUUUCUUACUUACUCUGAUAUUUUAAGUCCUGUUUAUUUAAGAUCACUGUCAGAGAUGAUAACAUUCCCUGCAGUGGUCACCUUUCUUUCAAAUGCACAUACAUCUUCUCAUUCAUCCAAAAUAGUAAUAUGGAAUGAGUAUAUUCAAGGAAUCUUCAGACUUGUUUUGCAAAAUGAUAGGUCCAUGGUAUUGCAGUGGGCUCAGUGCUGUUCUUUGAAGCUCUUAGCCUAGCGGACUGGGGUCACAUCCACACCAUACAUUUAAAUCACUGCUAUACUACUUUGGGACGAGGGUGGCGCUGUGGGUAAAACCUCAGUGCCUAGGACUUGCCGAUCGUAUGGUCGGUGGUUCAAAUCCCUGCGGCGGGGUGAGCUCCCGUUGUUCGGUCACAGCUCCUGCCCACCUAGCAGUUCGAAAGCACCCUUAAGUGCAAGUAGAUAAAUAGGUACCGCUUUAUAGCAGGAAGGUAACAGCGUUUCCGUGCGCUGCACUGGUGCUGGAUCGCCAGAGCAGCUUCGUCAUGCUGGCCAUGUGACCCAGAAGUGUCUCCGGACAGCACUGGCUCCCGGCCUCUUAAGCGAGAUGAGCACGCAACCCCAGAGUCGGUCAUGACUGGCCCGUACGGGCAGGGGUACCUUUACCUUUACCUUAUACUACUUUAGCAGCCAUGGCUUCCCACAAAGAAUCCUUACAGCUGUAGUUUGUUAAAGAUGCUGACCCUCACUGACCUACAAUUCCCAGUACUCUUAAGAAACUACAUUUCCCAGGAUUGUCCAUGACUGCUAAAGUGCUGCAAGAGUGCUUUAAAUGUAUGAUUUGAUUGUGACCUGAUCUGCUUUUUGUGUCUGCUUUUAUGGAUGGCAUGAUCGGUCAAUUCCAGUGCUCCAUUUCUCAUGUUUCCAGUCUUAAAUUAAGUUCUCCAUUUUUCUAGAACAAGCAAGCAAGCAAGCAAGCAAGCAAGCAAACAAACAAACCUUAAUGAAAAUGCACCAGUAUUUAGGUGCAAUCUCCUAAUAAACACAUUUUUAUGCAGUUUUUGAGUAACAGACGUUUGUUUGCAAGCAAUUACCUCUAACAUACUGUAUUUUUGUACGUGAUUUUCAUUAGUAUAGCCUUUUUCAUAACGCCUCCCCAAAUAAUAUAUGCAUAUUUGUAAACAUUGGUCAGAGAAGUACAUUGCAAAAUUCAGAGACAUGCAAAUUGCAAAGGCUAGCUGUGUUUUGGGUCUCAUUGAAAAAGUGUGGGGAAAUUGAGAACUGAUCACUAAUCUGAAUUAAAGAACCAGCCAAUGAGGCUUUUGAAAGGACUUCAAAAUUGCAGGCCUUCUGAUUCCUCUCCCCUUGCCAGCUUCCCCACCCCCUGCCCCUCCACCUCCGAUCCUUUCUGAAACAAGAUAUUAAAAAUAGCUGGGAAUAUUAAUUUGGCAGAUGGUUCCGCUUGGGCUUUGGGCAGGAGGCUGUGAAACUCUGCAGAGCCUCUGACCCUCGUCUCUAGCUCUAGCACACAGAGCUACAUCCUGGCUGUCAGCCAGCCAGCCAGCCAGCCAGCAUUUUCCUUAGGCUUUCUUGCUCUUGUUUCACUUAGUGAGCCUUGGCAGAAUUGUUCAGAUCUGAAGGGACCUGGGGUAGGUCAUCUGGGCCUAUCCUGCAUACAUCAUCAUGGAACACUCGGGUUUGCUAAAAAAAGGUUUGCUAAUUGUAAGCACUUUGUUUUUGUUUUUUUUAAAUGAUAUUUAUUAAGAAUUUUAAAAUUAC